This 267-nucleotide signal recognition particle RNA is filed under the name Aspergillus aculeatus ATCC 16872. RNAcentral's name for it is "Fungal signal recognition particle RNA". It matches the Rfam family "Fungal signal recognition particle RNA". Lineage: Eukaryota; Fungi; Ascomycota; Eurotiomycetes; Eurotiales; Aspergillaceae. The record is from Rfam by way of RNAcentral.
AAUCUGUCAUGGAUAGUCCAGUGGGAGGUCGGCCGUUAAGUCAAUAACCUUGCUUAGGUAAUUGCCAGCGGGACCGGUGCCUGGUACGAAUCCGGGGGUCGUCGUUGUACUCGUGCGAGUAGUCCACGAUUGCUACACGGCGCUAAGCAAUGGAAGUGACCCUUGAGGGAAGCAAUUCUGCAGAGACAUUUCCACCCUAGGAUGGCGUCACCAGAUUACACCGUCCCGUUACAGGGAAGUUGGCAGUUUGGCUGGGCAACUACUUUU